RNAcentral lists this ribosomal RNA (459 nucleotides) under uncultured bacterium. RNAcentral describes it as "partial 16S ribosomal RNA". It matches the Rfam family "Bacterial small subunit ribosomal RNA", at positions 28 to 507 of the family's 1533-position model. The record is from RNAcentral.
GAUGAACGCUGGCGGCGCGCCUAACACAUGCAAGUCGAACGGCACCCCUCCUCGGAGGGAAGCGAGUGGCGAACGGCUGAGUAACACGUGGAGAACCUGCCCCCUCCCCCGGGAUAGCCGCCCGAAAGGACGGGUAAUACCGGAUACCCCGGGGUGCCGCAUGGCACCCCGGCUAAAGCCCCGACGGGAGGGGAUGGCUCCGCGGCCCAUCAGGUAGACGGCGGGGUGACGGCCCACCGUGCCGACAACGGGUAGCCGGGUUGAGGGACCGACCGGCCAGAUUGGGACUGAGACACGGCCCAGACUCCUACGGGAGGCAGCAGUGGGGAAUCUUGCGCAAUGGGGGGAACCCUGACGCAGCGACGCCGCGUGCGGGACGGAGGCCUUCGGGUCGUAAACCGCUUUCAGCAGGGAAGAGUCAAGACUGUACCUGCAGAAGAAGCCCCGGCUAACUACGUG